AGGCGCCGGUUAUAGUCCUGAUGGACAAGGACUGUAAAGGCGAGAGAUCGGAAAUUCGCCAAUGGUUUGAGGACAGCCGCUUUUCUACUUGUGAGGCCUCGAAUAUUUUUGAAGCCCUCGAGCAGCUUUCCGAUUUUACACUUCGCAACAGGCCGGAUGUCGUACUUCUUGAUGUUGAUUGCUGUGAGGAUGAUCUGCCGAUAGUUCAAAACGUCGCGGGCCUUCCGACGAUGGCGAUAACCUGGAACAAGGAACAUAUGCCGAAGGGCAAGGGCCAAGAUUUUCACUCAAAUAUGGGCCAGGUCGCGGU
This 310-nucleotide unclassified non-coding RNA is filed under the name uncultured fungus. RNAcentral describes it as "sequence contains ITS1". The record is from RNAcentral. Lineage: Eukaryota; Fungi.